Molecule: long non-coding RNA, 334 nt
Filed under: Rhinopithecus roxellana (golden snub-nosed monkey)
Lineage: Eukaryota; Metazoa; Chordata; Mammalia; Primates; Cercopithecidae
Description: lncRNA (ENSRROG00000045851.1)
Source: RNAcentral
CUAAUCUUCAAAAUCCAAACAUUCCAAGCCCCGUCCUUUUGUGCAGGCAUCUCGCUGUCUGCGCUGGGCACGGAGCGGCGCGCGCGCGCCCGCCUUUCCCUCGGCGGCCCCCGGCGGCUCGGACCCGGGCCGGCAGACAGGCCAUCCAUCAUCCGCCCUCCUCCCGCCGAGCGCCGCCGCCGCGGCCAAUCCGGCGGCAGGUGGGACCGCACCUGCGGGACUGCCCGCCGCUUUCCUCCGCUCUCUUCGCCGCGCCUCGCGUGCUAGCGGUGUCCUUGUGAGCCACUGCUUUCUCCAAGGCCAGAACGGGACAGCAAAAAAGGCAGAAGAUUAA